UAGGGAAUCUUCCUCAAUGGACGAAAGUCUGAUGGAGCAACGCCGCGUGAGUGAAGAAGGGUUUCGGCUCGUAAAACUCUGUUGUUAAAGAAGAACAUAUCUGAGAGUAACUGUUCAGGUAUUGACGGUAUUUAACCAGAAAGCCACGGCUAACUACGUGCCAG
This 164-nucleotide ribosomal RNA is filed under the name uncultured bacterium. RNAcentral describes it as "partial 16S rRNA". It matches the Rfam family "Bacterial small subunit ribosomal RNA", at positions 355 to 511 of the family's 1533-position model. The record is from RNAcentral.